AGCCGAUCCCGGGCGCAGCCAGCUGAGUGCAGCGUGGGGAGCACGAGAGGCUCAGGCAGCGGUGGCGGCGGCGUCCCGGCGAUGCUGCGGCACUCUUCGAGCGCAGGAGCCCCGGCCUCUUCCUAAGGAGAAAGUUUGAUGCUGAGACUCCAGGAGCCAGACUGGCGUCCCCAAGGCCCGCGCCUUUAAUAGAGGCAGCUCCCCUGCCUGCCGGGUGCCUGUGCCCUGCAUGUGGGCAUGCAGGAACCCAUGCCGCUUUCUAAUCAGAGCAGCAUUCCUGACACAGCUGUUCUUCAGGAAGUUCAUCUGUAGGAACCCCCUUGGGAAUAACUAUGACUUUUGCUUGAAAGUAGUGCAUCAAGUAGUCAAUGUCCCCAUGUUCUCUCCUCCUAGAAUGGGCUCUACCAAGGUCUGUACUCUCAGAGCUUAAAAAAAUGUGUCUAUCUACCUUACCUUCUAAUUAAAGCCCCCAAUCACUAGAAUGUC
Myotis davidii is the source of this 486-nucleotide long non-coding RNA. RefSeq lists it as uncharacterized. The record is from RefSeq and is a predicted model, not a curated record. The transcript has 2 exons. Lineage: Eukaryota; Metazoa; Chordata; Mammalia; Chiroptera; Vespertilionidae.